RNAcentral lists this ribosomal RNA (309 nucleotides) under uncultured bacterium. Its description in RNAcentral is "partial 16S ribosomal RNA". It matches the Rfam family "Bacterial small subunit ribosomal RNA", at positions 504 to 808 of the family's 1533-position model. The record is from RNAcentral.
AGAGACAGCAGAGCCACGGGAAUACAGAGGGUGCGAGCGUUAAUCGGAUUUACUGGGCGUAAAGCGUGCGUAAGCGGCUUUUUAAGUCGGAUGUGAAAUCCCUGAGCUUAACUUAGGAAUUGCAUUCGAUACUGGGAAGCUAGAGUAUGGGAGAGGAUGGUAGAAUUCCAGGUGUAGCGGUGAAAUGCGUAGAGAUCUGGAGGAAUACCGAUGGCGAAGGCAGCCAUCUGGCCUAAUACUGACGCUGAGGUACGAAAGCAUGGGGAGCAAACAGGAUUAGAUACCCGAGUAGUCCCUGUCUCUUAUACC